UGCAGUCGAGCGGUAACAGGAAGCAGCGUUGCUGCUUUGCUGACGAGUGGCGGACGGGUGAGUAAUGUCUGGGAAACUGCCUGAUGGAGGGGGAUAACUACUGGAAACGGUAGCUAAUACCGCAUAACGUCACAAGACCAGAGAGGGGGACCUUCGGGCCUCUUGCCAUCACAUGUGCCCAAAUGGGAUUAGCUAGUAGGUGGGGUAACGGCUCACCUAGGCGACGAUCCCUACCUGGUCUGAGAGGAUGACCACCCACACUGGAACUGAGACACGGUCCAGACUCCUACGGGAGGCGGCAGUGGGGAAUAUUGGACAAUGGGCGCAAGCCUGAUGCGCCCAUGCCGCGUGUAUGAACAAGGCCUUCGGGUUGUAAAGUACUUUCAACGAGGAGGAAGGCGAUGUGGUUAAUAACCGCGUCAAUUGACGUUACCCGCAAAAGAAGCACCGGCUAACUCCGUGCCAGCAGCCGCGGUAAUACGGAGGGUGCAAGCGUUAAUCGGAAUUACUGGGCGUAAAGCGCACGCAGGCGGUCUGUCAAGUCGGAUGUGAAAUCCCCGGGCUCAACCUGGGAACUGCAUC
RNAcentral lists this ribosomal RNA (582 nucleotides) under Kosakonia cowanii. Its description in RNAcentral is "bacterial SSU rRNA". It matches the Rfam family "Bacterial small subunit ribosomal RNA", at positions 56 to 627 of the family's 1533-position model. Lineage: Bacteria; Pseudomonadati; Pseudomonadota; Gammaproteobacteria; Enterobacterales; Enterobacteriaceae. The record is from RNAcentral.